RNAcentral lists this unclassified non-coding RNA (253 nucleotides) under Hevea brasiliensis (rubber tree). The record is from RNAcentral. Lineage: Eukaryota; Viridiplantae; Streptophyta; Magnoliopsida; Malpighiales; Euphorbiaceae.
UUUUUUUUUUGGGAAAAAAAGAGACACAAAAGAAAUGGAAGAAAGAAAAAAAAUUCAGAUUAAGAAUCACUGAAGAAAACGCAAGACAUAAAAAAAUAAGAAAAUCGAUGAACAAGUCAUAAAACGUAAUAGUACGAUGAACAAAUAAAAAAAAGAAAACACAAAAAUGAUAGAUGGAACCUGAUUUGGAGCCAAAGCUAUGAUAUCAAAUUGAUGCGAACCUCAAGAACGAUGCUUUGAAACCCAUGAACAG